UCACAUGACUGGGCGCAGCCUGCUGCAGCCUGCCGCGUGUGUGAAGAAGGCCUUCGGGUUGUAAAGCACUCUCAGUCAGGAGGAAAGGUUAGUAGUUAAUACCUGCUAGCUGUGACGUUACUGACAGAAGAAGCACCGGCUAACUCCGUGCCAGCAGCCGCGGUAAUACGGAGGGUGCGAGCGUUAAUCGGAAUUACUGGGCGUAAAGCGCACGCAGGCGGUUUGUUAAGCGAGAUGUGAAAGCCCCGGGCUCAACCUGGGAACUGCAUUUCGAACUGGCAAACUAGAGUGUGAUAGAGGGUGGUAGAAUUUCAGGUGUAGCGGUGAAAUGCGUAGAGAUCUGAAGGAAUACCGAUGGCGAAGGCAGCCACCUGGGUCAACACUGACGCUCAUGUACGAAA
RNAcentral lists this ribosomal RNA (401 nucleotides) under uncultured bacterium. RNAcentral describes it as "bacterial SSU rRNA". It matches the Rfam family "Bacterial small subunit ribosomal RNA", at positions 359 to 758 of the family's 1533-position model. The record is from RNAcentral.